AAGAACUAACAGGAUUCCCCUAGUAACGGCGAGUGAAGCGGGAAGAGCUCAAGCUUAAAAUCUCCGGUCAGGUUCUGGUCGGCGAAUUGUAGUCUAUAGACGCGUUAUCAGUGUGGCCGGUCGGGGUAAGUUCCUUGGAAGAGGACAGCAAUGAGGGUGAUACUCCCGUUUGUACCUGAUUGUGUUGCGCGUACGAUGCGUGUUCUUUGAGUCGCGUUGUUUGGGAAUGCAGCGCAAAGUAGGUGGUAAAUUCCAUCUAAAGCUAAAUAUUGGUGCGAGACCGAUAGCGAACAAGUACCGUGAGGGAAAGAUGAAAAGAACUUUGAAAAGAGAGUUAAAGAGUACCUGAAACUGCUGAAAGGGAACCGGGUCGUUGCCAGUGUCUAUAAUCCUUGGCAUAUUUCAUUGCCGUGUCUGUUUGUUCCGCGUGUUUGUAGCAGUUUGUUCUGUGCAUUGCGUGGUUGUGAGCGGUCGUGGCGGUGCCCUGUGCUUUGGUGGGACGUCAGAGUCAGUUCGUAUGCUGCGGGAAAUGGUCGUGCAGGAGGUAGGUCGGGGGCUUGCUCUCGGCUGUUAUAUCUGUGCGUGCCAGUAGUCGUGGUUGGGACUGAGGUGCCUACAACGUGCUUUUGAGUCUUUGGGUCGCUCUGUGCGCGCGUGUGCGGGAUAGCUUGCUAUGCCGUGUGCGUUUGUGUGUGGAUGGCGUGCUCUUUGUAACUUGUUGCCGUUCGGGACUUUGACGAAAUGGCGCGAUCCGA
This 755-nucleotide ribosomal RNA is filed under the name Phytopythium helicoides. Its description in RNAcentral is "partial 28S ribosomal RNA". It matches the Rfam family "Eukaryotic large subunit ribosomal RNA", at positions 56 to 647 of the family's 3401-position model. Lineage: Eukaryota; Oomycota; Peronosporomycetes; Pythiales; Pythiaceae. The record is from RNAcentral.